GAUGAACGCUAGCUACAGGCUUAACACAUGCAAGUCGAGGGGAAACGACAUUGAAGCUUGCUUCGAUGGUCGUCGACCGGCGCACGGGUGAGUAACGCGUAUCCAACCUGCCUCUGACCAAGGGAUAACCCGUCGAAAGUCGGCCUAAUACCUUAUGCAGUCUUCGGAAGUCAUCUGAUGACGACGAAAGAUUUCAUCGGUGAGAGAUGGGGAUGCGUCUGAUUAGCUUGUUGGCGGGGUAACGGCCCACCAAGGCAACGAUCAGUAGGGGUUCUGAGAGGAAGGUGCCCCACAUUGGAACUGAGACACGGUCCAAACUCCUACGGGAGGCAGUAGUGAGGAAUAUUGGUCAAUGGGAGAGAGCCUGAACCAGCCAAGUAGCGUGCAGGAUGACGGCCCUAUGGGUUGUAAACUGCUUUUAUGAGGGGAUAAAGUGAGGGACGUGUCCUUCAUUGCAGGUACCGCAUGAAUAAGGACCGGCUAAUUCCGUG
RNAcentral lists this ribosomal RNA (491 nucleotides) under uncultured bacterium. Its description in RNAcentral is "partial 16S ribosomal RNA". It matches the Rfam family "Bacterial small subunit ribosomal RNA", at positions 28 to 507 of the family's 1533-position model. The record is from RNAcentral.